CGGGGCUUAAAGUCUUGUAAUUGGAAUGAUGGGAAUUUAAACCUCUUCCAGAGUAUCAAUUGGAGGGCAAGUCUGGUGCCAGCAGCCGCGGUAAUUCCAGCUCCAAUAGCGUAUAUUAAAAUUGUUGCAGUUAAAAAGCUCGUAGUUGAAUUUCUGCUGCAAUGCUUGUGUCCCUCUGGGGUCUGUGCAUGUGGCUUUUUUCGGACGGAGUUUCUUUGUCUGAAUGUUUACUUUGAGAAAAUUAGAGUGCUCAAAGCAGGCUUUCGCCUUGAAUAGUUUAGCAUGGAAUAAUAAAGUAGGACUUUGGUUCUAUUUUGUUGGUUUUAGGUACCAAAGUAAUGGUUAAUAGGAACAGUUGGGGGCAUUCGUAUUUAACUGUCAGAGGUGAAAUUCUUAGAUUUGUUAAAGACGAACUACUGCGAAAGCAUUUGCCAAGGAUGUUUUCAUUAAUCAAGAAC
Molecule: ribosomal RNA, 458 nt
Filed under: Theileria annulata
Lineage: Eukaryota; Apicomplexa; Aconoidasida; Piroplasmida; Theileriidae
Description: SSU rRNA
Rfam family: Eukaryotic small subunit ribosomal RNA
Source: RNAcentral